Molecule: long non-coding RNA, 2179 nt
Organism: Physeter macrocephalus (sperm whale)
Lineage: Eukaryota; Metazoa; Chordata; Mammalia; Artiodactyla; Physeteridae
Source: Ensembl
AUGGAGGUCAGAAUGAUGGUGUCCAUUCAAGGAACACUUACGUUAACACUACCUAAAAUCAGAUGUGACCAGAGACGUGGUUACCUUUCUGUUCAGUCCUAUCAAACUGUCUCUUCCCAGUGGAGACAGACAACAGGAGAGGAGCAGAUAGGAAGAAGGAAGGAACUCGGGAUCAACUCCUCUAUGUUGAACACAAAGGCACAUUCAUUGCCUCACUCAUCACUUUAAAGAAAAAUGCAGAGGGAACUGCAUAUCUCCAAGUUCUUAUGGUGCAAUUCACCAUGUUUUCAACAUAAGUUCCAAUUACAAAAUUUUCAUUUUAUUUUUAAAAUUUUGGUAAGUAAAUUCUUUUAUGAUCUACAUUUGGAGUUUUUAAUGCAGCAAGUAAAAAUGAGCAAUAUUGAAAAUUAACUUGAAGGUAGCCUUGAUUUUAAAAAUGAUCACUUCCUUCUGUAAUAAUACCUCCAAUGCCAAUUCUAAAUUUUUAUGGAAUAGUGUGAAAUAAUGCUGACUGCACACAUCCAGUGGCGAUGAAUUGACUGAGUGCAUGCCAGAUCAAGAAAUGAGACUCUUGGGACUGACUUUAACUAUAUCCACCAUAAUCAAUCAUGUAGAACACAUGAUGAGGCUGCUAGUUGUAGAUUACAUCUGUGGAACCCAGACAUAUCUGCGAUUUUUUUUUUUUAAGUAGAGUAGUAGAACAGAAAUAUAAAAGAAUUGAAAUUUGUUUCUGAUUUAAACAAAAAUAUUUACUCUUUUCAUUAGCAAAACAUUCUUUCUUUAAAAUAUAUCUAUUUUUCCUCUGAACAUUUAGCCAAGGAGCACUAGGCAAUUUUUGAAGGUUUCAGUGCUGACUGACUGUUCAAUACAAUAAAUACAGCUGUAGAGCGCACACAGCAACAAUAGCUUAUUUACAUCCACUGAGAAGAAAUUUAUUCUCAUCUGGUUACAGUGUCCAGUCCCCCAAAGGAAAGGUUUGGCAUUCGUGUGCUUUUUGUUCUUGGUGGGAAUCACUUCUGCUUGAUUUUCAUUGUUGAAAGAAAAAAAAAAAAAAAAAAUCAGCUGAUGGCCUCAGAUUUUCUGACAUGAUGUGAAAGAAUGCGACAAAAAUUAGCUGCUACCAUGGAGUUAGUCUGGGACUGGGUUUCCAGGCAGAUCUCGCUUCUUCCCAGGUGGGCGUCCAGUGGGCUCCACGGGAACCAAGAGGUAGAUGCCCAGGACCCAGGCGUGCUGAGCCGCAUCCAGGGACGGGUCACUCUCUCGCUCAGCUGAGCACCCCCUGCUCUGCCUCAGUCACCACCCCUACUCACUACCCUAUAUACUGAUGCUCGUGGCUACAGAACUUAUGGAAACCAGUUCACACGGAAACAAAAGCGGAGAACUCAACCAAGAGGUGGGCUAUGCACGUGUGUCAUCGUCCAGUGCUGCCUCCUGAGCUACUGUCUGUUGCGAUCAUGGGUGGAGGAUGGGAACAUAUGUUCCUCAUAGCAGAAUUCUCCUGUGUUUCUCUUGAUUUUUGAGAAGGUUAUGUUUUUCCAAACAAUUCGAUCAAAGUAGAGUCUGAUGUCUGCUCUUUCUGGCAAACCAAUAAUAAUGGUAGAAAUUUCAGCCUCUCUCUUUUGAAUUUCAAAACUUACCUAAAAGUGGAAUGUUUUUCCCUGGCAAAUGAUUACUUACUUCUUUGAAAAGUGGACAGUAUUUCUUUUUUGGAUCCAACUCAGCCCUUCAGAAAAUACUUCAGACUGAAAGAGGAGGAAGUAGAGGAGAACUAACUUCCUAUUGUGCCUUACAUAAAACAUUUUGCUGAAAUGAAGAGCAGCUCUGACUACAAAAGUAAAUAUUUGUGCAAAGGGCACACUGCCAGGUGCAAUCUCAAGACAUCCUCAAUUUACUCAUAGUGUUGUGACUCUUUAAAACACAAGUCUUUUAAGUGAUGAAACCUAGCAAGUAAUGGGAAGGAAGUUAACAUCAGAAAAUACACUUAGAAAAAGUACAGGAUAUUUUGCCUGGCAUUUGCUACUUAUUUCAUAACUUAGAUCAAGUAAGUGUUAAAUAUUCACAGUAAUUUCAGAGAAGAAACAUGUCUGUAAAACUUCAAUCUAUUGCAUUUUCAACAUUUUUCUGCACAAUUACAAAAUGUCAUCUGUCGGUGCUUUCCUGUAGAAUUCUUUACUGUCAG